RNAcentral lists this ribosomal RNA (465 nucleotides) under Vreelandella stevensii. Its description in RNAcentral is "partial 16S ribosomal RNA". It matches the Rfam family "Bacterial small subunit ribosomal RNA", at positions 338 to 795 of the family's 1533-position model. The record is from RNAcentral. Lineage: Bacteria; Pseudomonadati; Pseudomonadota; Gammaproteobacteria; Oceanospirillales; Halomonadaceae.
CCUACGGGUGGCAGCAGUGGGGAAUAUUGGACAAUGGGCGAAAGCCUGAUCCAGCCAUGCCGCGUGUGUGAAGAAGGCCUUCGGGUUGUAAAGCACUUUCAGUGGGGAAGAAAGCCUUGGGGCUAAUACCCUCGAGGAAGGACAUCACCCACAGAAGAAGCACCGGCUAACUCCGUGCCAGCAGCCGCGGUAAUACGGAGGGUGCGAGCGUUAAUCGGAAUUACUGGGCGUAAAGCGCGCGUAGGCGGUCUGAUAAGCCGGUUGUGAAAGCCCCGGGCUCAACCUGGGAACGGCAUCCGGAACUGUCAGGCUAAAGUGCAGGAGAGGAAGGUAGAAUUCCCGGUGUAGCGGUGAAAUGCGUAGAGAUCGGGAGGAAUACCAGUGGCGAAGGCGGCCUUCUGGACUGACACUGACGCUGAGGUGCGAAAGCGUGGGUAGCAAACAGGAUUAGAUACCCUGGUAGUC